This 253-nucleotide ribosomal RNA is filed under the name uncultured bacterium. RNAcentral describes it as "partial 16S ribosomal RNA". It matches the Rfam family "Bacterial small subunit ribosomal RNA", at positions 524 to 776 of the family's 1533-position model. The record is from RNAcentral.
GACAGGGGUCUCAAGCGUUAAUCGGAAUUACUGGGCUUAAAGGGUGCGUAGGCGGGCCCGAAAGUGCUUUGUGAAAUCCCCCGGCUCAACCGGGGAACUGCGGGGCAUACUGCGGGUCUUGAGGAAGGUAGGCGCCGAGGGAACAGUAGGUGGAGCGGUGAAAUGCGUAGAUAUCUACUGGAACGCCGAUGGUGAAGACGCUCGGCUGGGCCUUUCCUGACGCUGAGGCACGAAAGCGUGGGGAGCAAACAGG